Molecule: ribosomal RNA, 511 nt
Filed under: uncultured eukaryote
Lineage: Eukaryota
Description: bacterial SSU rRNA
Rfam family: Eukaryotic small subunit ribosomal RNA
Source: RNAcentral
CAAUAGCGUAUAUUAAAGUUGUUGCGGUUAAAAAGCUCGUAGUUGGAUUUCUGCCGAGGACGACCGGUCCGCCCUCUGGGUGAGCAUCUGGCUCGGCCUGGGCAUCUUCUUGGAGAACGUAUCUGCACUUGACUGUGUGGUGCGGUAUCCAGGACUUUACUUGAGGAAAUUAGAGUGUUUCAAGCAGGCAUACGCCUUGAAUACAUUAGCAUGGAAUAAUAAGAUAGGACCUCGGUUCUAUUUUGUUGGUUUCUAGAGCUGAGGUACUGAUGAAUAGGAUAUUAGGGGGCAUUUCGGGUGCAAUUUUAACCGUUGAUUUCAAACGUAGGGUUGCAAAAGUUACUUGGGGAUUUUGGUUAAAAAAUUCGUUAGGCAUUUGGGACUUUAAAAGACCUGGGCAGCAAAGCUAAUUUGCCCAAGGUGCAUGGAAAGUUUUCCAAUUUUUGGCCAAAUCAAGGGAAACUGGAAACUUUUUUUCAAUUGGGGGAAUUCCGAAAAGGAAACGAAAUCG